RNAcentral lists this RNase P RNA (384 nucleotides) under Periweissella cryptocerci. RNAcentral describes it as "Bacterial RNase P class B". It matches the Rfam family "Bacterial RNase P class B". From Rfam's summary of the family: Ribonuclease P (RNase P) is a ubiquitous endoribonuclease, found in archaea, bacteria and eukarya as well as chloroplasts and mitochondria. Its best characterised activity is the generation of mature 5'-ends of tRNAs by cleaving the 5'-leader elements of precursor-tRNAs. Cellular RNase Ps are ribonucleoproteins. The record is from Rfam by way of RNAcentral. Lineage: Bacteria; Bacillati; Bacillota; Bacilli; Lactobacillales; Lactobacillaceae.
AAUUACUGGUAAUCGCGCGUAACCUUGAGUUACGUGAGGAAAGUCCUUGCUCGCACAGGCUGCGAUGCCUGUAGUGUUUGUGCUCGGCGAAAAAAUAAACCGGGGCAUCGAUUUAUCGGUGACGGCGGAAGAACCGGCUAAGGUUUCGGCUAUGCUCUAGUAUUUCUGAAAGUGCCACAGUGACGAGCUGACUCGGAAACGGGUCAGAUGGAACGCGGUAAACCCCUCAAGCGGGAAACCCAAACUUAUGGUAGGGGAGCUCGGCCUAGUGAAUUGAAACGAUGGUCGUGGUCACGAUGCACAGGAUGUAUCGUGUGAAGAUAGAUGAUUACUGCUCUGAUAACUUGCAUGACGUUACCAGAGAACAUAACGAGGCUUAUAGGG